This 264-nucleotide unclassified non-coding RNA is filed under the name fungal sp. RNAcentral describes it as "partial internal transcribed spacer region". The stretch from base 1 to 46 matches the Rfam family "Eukaryotic small subunit ribosomal RNA", at positions 1786 to 1831 of the family's 1831-position model. Lineage: Eukaryota; Fungi. The record is from RNAcentral.
AAGUCGUAACAAGGUUUCCGUAGGUGAACCUGCGGAAGGAUCAUUACAAAAGUUAUGGGGAUUUGGACUUGCCUCUCGGGGCUGAGUCCUUUCCUUUCAACUUUCAACCACUUGUGAAUUUGUAAUAAUACAUGACUCUUUUCCUUCUGGAAAGAGUUGUGUCAUUCAACCAAUUGUCUGUUAACGAAGUCUGAUUGUAACUAUUGGUGUUUAAAGACACUAGUAAUUAUAAAACAACUUUUGGCAACGGAUCUCUUGGCUCUC